RNAcentral lists this ribosomal RNA (256 nucleotides) under uncultured bacterium. RNAcentral describes it as "partial 16S ribosomal RNA". It matches the Rfam family "Bacterial small subunit ribosomal RNA", at positions 524 to 776 of the family's 1533-position model. The record is from RNAcentral.
GACGUAGGAGGCGAGCGUUUAUCCGGAUUCACUGGGCGUAAAGCGCAUGUAGGCGGUUGUGUAAGUCGUGUGUUAAAGCCCCUGGCUCAACUGGGGGAGGUCAUGCGAGACUACACGGACUCGAGGGCAGCAGAGGCACGUGGAACUCCCGGUGUAGCGGUGGAAUGCGUAGAGAUCGGGAAGAACACCCGUGGCGAAGGCGGACGUGCUGGGCUGCAUCUGACGCUGAGAUGCGAAAGUGUGGGGAGCAAACGGG